Molecule: long non-coding RNA, 1209 nt
Organism: Hydractinia symbiolongicarpus
Lineage: Eukaryota; Metazoa; Cnidaria; Hydrozoa; Anthoathecata; Hydractiniidae
Exons: 3
Source: RefSeq, a predicted model, not a curated record
UAAAUCCGUCACAAAUAAAAAAAAUCGAAAAUUGUCUAUAGUACAUCAACAACAUCAACAACAACUAAUAAAUUGGUCAGUGUUCUCAUCUUUAGAUAAGUGUGGUUGAAGUAUAAUAGAAAUCCAUAAGGAUUUAUCUUUGUCUCUAUUUUUCUGUAUGAAGAAAACUCUUACAAAAGCCCUAUGUUUUUAGAGACAAGGUGUUUAUUAAACUUUUGCAAUAGUCUAAAUGUUGGGUAGUCAAGACAGGUGUAUGAAGAUACCAUAGGCUUUUAAAGUUUAAACGCUCGGUUUGGAAUCUUUGUUUACAGCCAUUACUUUACAACUAGUAUGUAUGUACUUCUUUAACCCGCCUUGUGUAAAGUUAUCAACUUUGAAUACUUUUUUCAGGUGCAAUAUCGACAAUAAGUUGUUUGCAAUGUGAAAAUAAAUUUCGUGGAUGUUCAAAAUCACACAAGUUCUACAUCUCCAUAUACAAUAUCUCAAACCAUAUGUUGAGUGAGACAAGCAAGGAAUUGAUAAAAUGUGUAAGUCUUAUUAAAGAUUUCCUUUUUCCUAUUUUCGAUUUAUCCAUGAGGAACUGUUAACGUUCCUUUUUUAGAGAAAACUUGUCCGAAAGCACAAUGACUGCAGUUGGUCCGCUUGCCACUGGGAAUUUAUUGCAGCAACUAGAAUUAAUAACAUAUUAAAUGGAAGAGAUAAAAAGCAAAUUUAUGAGGAGAUUAUUCAGUUGUUGGCUAAUAUUGAACCAUAUUUAUUGAAUAUCACCAACUGCGACAAAGAAGCACACAAAGGGUUAAAAUUGAUCAAACGAUAUAAUGAGAUGAUUUGUCAGUUAAGACAUGCCAGACAGUUUUCUCACCGUUGCUUAACAGAACGAAACUACGAAGACAUACAUUCAUACACCAAGGUUAAACACUUUAAACCGCGAGGCUGUUGUGGAAAUCCAGAUGUACUCACUUAUUCAAUUCUUUAUUAUUUUAAAAUGGUUUUACGUAAAGCGCAAUUAAAAUGGUUUUACCGUCGUGUGCUUUUCCAUAUUUCACAUCUUUAAAGCCAUCGAUGAUAAAGUAUACGGCUAACUGCUUACUGUCCAACUUACAUAAAUAUGUAUUAGGUUUUUUUACAAAGUUUAAAAAAAAUUGGCGGAUUUUGAAAUUUCUUUUUUCUUUAAUAGAGUUUUUAACUCAAAUAUUUUUUCAACACAAA